GACGAACGCUGGCGGCGUGCUUAACACAUGCAAGUCGAGCGGAAAGGCCCUUUCGGGGGUACUCGAGCGGCGAACGGGUGAGUAACACGUGAGUAAUCUGCCCCUGGCUUUGGGAUAGCCACCGGAAACGGUGAUUAAUACCGGAUACGACCACUUCUCGCAUGGGAUGGUGGUGGAAAGUUUUUCGGCCAGGGAUGUGCUCGCGGCCUAUCAGCUUGAUGGUGAGGUAAUGGCUCACCAUGGCUUCGACGGGUAGCCGGCCUGAGAGGGUGACCGGUCACACUGGGACUGAGACACGGCCGAGACUCCUACGGGAGGAAGCAGUGGGGAAUAUUGGACAAUGGGCGGAAGCCUGAUCCAGCAACGCCGCGUGAGGGAUGACGGCCUUCGGGUUGUAAACCUCUUUCAGCAGGGACGAAGCGCAAGUGACGGUACCUGCAGAAGAAGCACCGGCCAACUACGUGCCAGCCGCCGCGGUAA
Molecule: ribosomal RNA, 480 nt
Filed under: uncultured bacterium
Lineage: Bacteria
Description: partial 16S ribosomal RNA
Rfam family: Bacterial small subunit ribosomal RNA
Source: RNAcentral